Molecule: non-coding RNA, 97 nt
Organism: Oleoguttula mirabilis
Lineage: Eukaryota; Fungi; Ascomycota; Dothideomycetes; Mycosphaerellales; Teratosphaeriaceae
Source: the annotation of a GenBank genome assembly
GCGUUGGUGGUUUAGUGGUAAAAUUAGCCGUUGCCAGGUUUCCUACUAGGAUAUCAACAACAUCGGCUAGCCCCGGGUUCGAUUCCCGGCCGACGCA